GAAGCCCGCCAGACCGCCGCUGGUGCCGGGAUCCAGGCGACGCUUGCGUCGCGUGGGAAACCAGGCACUGGAGGAACGUCCGGACUGCACAGGGCAGCGUAGCAGGUAACACCUGUCCACCGUGAGGUGAGGAUCAGAGCAACAGAGACGAGUCGCGGCGGGCAACCGCUGCGGGUGAAACGGGCAAUCUCUACGCGCAGCAAUACCAAGUAGGCCAGCCUGGAGCGGCGCGGUACGCCGCGACUCUCCGCCUUGUGGCACCGCAAGGAGAGCUGGCGGGUAGGUAGCACCGAGCUGCUUGGCGACAAGCAGCCCAGAGGAAUGGCGGUCACGCCGCGCCUUCGAAAGAAAGUGCGGCGCCACAGAAUCCGGCUUAUCGGCGGACUUCACAC
RNAcentral lists this RNase P RNA (392 nucleotides) under Ramlibacter sp. RNAcentral's name for it is "RNase P RNA component class A". It matches the Rfam family "Bacterial RNase P class A". From Rfam's summary of the family: Ribonuclease P (RNase P) is a ubiquitous endoribonuclease, found in archaea, bacteria and eukarya as well as chloroplasts and mitochondria. Its best characterised activity is the generation of mature 5'-ends of tRNAs by cleaving the 5'-leader elements of precursor-tRNAs. Lineage: Bacteria; Pseudomonadati; Pseudomonadota; Betaproteobacteria; Burkholderiales; Comamonadaceae. The record is from RNAcentral.